GACGAACGCUGGCGGCGUGCCUAACACAUGCAAGUUGAGCGACGAACCAGGGCUUGCCCUGGGGCAAAGCAGCGAACGGGUGAGUAACACGUGGGUAACCUACCCCGAUAACCGGGACAACCCGAGGAAACUCGGGCUAAUACCGGAUGUGCUCACUGGACUUCGGUUCAGUGCGUAAAGGAAGCUUCGACCUCCGUAUCGGGAGGGGCCCGCGGCCCAUUAGUUUGUUGGUGAGGUAACGGCUCACCAAGACCGCGAUGGGUAGCUGGUCUGAGAGGACGAUCAGCCACACUGGGACUGAGACACGGCCCAGACUCCUACGGGAGGCAGCAGUGGGGAAUCUUGCGCAAUGCGCGAAAGCGUGACGCAGCAACGCCGCGUGGGGGAAGAAGGCCUUCGGGUUGUAAACCCCUUUCAGGAGGGACGAAGGUUCGGCGGUGAAUAGCCGUCCGGACUGACGGUACCUCCACAAGAAGCCCCGGCUAACUACGUG
Molecule: ribosomal RNA, 493 nt
Filed under: uncultured bacterium
Lineage: Bacteria
Description: partial 16S ribosomal RNA
Rfam family: Bacterial small subunit ribosomal RNA
Source: RNAcentral